UACGAAGGGGGCUAGCGUUGCUCGGAAUCACUGGGCGUAAAGCGCACGUAGGCGGAUCUUUAAGUCAGGGGUGAAAUCCUGGAGCUCAACUCCAGAACUGCCUUUGAUACUGGGGAUCUCGAGUCCGGAAGAGGUGAGUGGAACUCCGAGUGUAGAGGUGAAAUUCGUAGAUAUUCGGAAGAACACCAGUGGCGAAGGCGGCUCACUGGCCCGGUACUGACGCUGAGGCGCGAAAGCGUGGGGAGCAAACAGG
RNAcentral lists this ribosomal RNA (253 nucleotides) under uncultured bacterium. RNAcentral describes it as "partial 16S ribosomal RNA". It matches the Rfam family "Bacterial small subunit ribosomal RNA", at positions 524 to 776 of the family's 1533-position model. The record is from RNAcentral.